This 745-nucleotide ribosomal RNA is filed under the name uncultured bacterium. RNAcentral's name for it is "bacterial SSU rRNA". It matches the Rfam family "Bacterial small subunit ribosomal RNA", at positions 8 to 796 of the family's 1533-position model. The record is from RNAcentral.
AGAGUUUGAUCAUGGCUCAGAGCGAACGCUGGCGGAAUGCUUAACACAUGCAAGUCGCACGGGGGCUUCGGCCUUAGUGGCGGACGGGUGAGUAACGCGUAGGAACGUGUCUUGGGGUGGGGGAUAACGCUGGGAAACUGGCGCUAAUACCGCAUGUCUGCUGCGGCAGAAAGCCUUCGGGUGCCUUGAGAGCGGCCUGCGUCCGAUUAGCUUGUUGGUGGGGUAAUGGCUUACCAAGGCGACGAUCGGUAGCUGGUCUGAGAGGACGAUCAGCCACACUGGGACUGAGACACGGCCCAGACUCCUACGGGAGGCAGCAGUGGGGAAUAUUGGACAAUGGGCGAAAGCCUGAUCCAGCAAUUCCGCGUGGGUGAAGAAGGUCUUCGGAUUGUAAAGCCCUUUCGACGGGGACGAUGAUGACGGUACCCGUAGAAGAAGCCCCGGCUAACUUCGUGCCAGCAGCCGCGGUAAUACGAAGGGGGCUAGCGUUGCUCGGAAUUACUGGGCGUAAAAGGGCGCGUAGGCGGCGCUGUUAGUCAGGCGUGAAAUUCCUGGGCUCAACCUGGGGACUGCGCUUGAUACGGCAGUGCUUGAGGAUGGAAGAGGCUCGCGGAAUUCCCAGUGUAGAGGUGAAAUUCGUAGAUAUUGGGAAGAACACCGGUGGCGAAGGCGGCGAGCUGGUCCAUUACUGACGCUGAGGCGCGACAGCGUGGGGAGCAAACAGGAUUAGAUACCCUAGUAGUCC